GACGAACGCUGGCGGCGUGCCUAACACAUGCAAGUCGAACGGAGUUAAGACUUCGGUUUUAACUUAGUGGCGAACGGGUGAGUAACGCGUGAGAAACCUGCCUUUCAGUGGGGGACAACAGUUGGAAACGACUGCUAAUACCGCAUAAUGUUAUUUGGGGGCAUCCCUGAAUAACCAAAGCUUUAUGUGCUGAAAGAUGGUCUCGCGUCUGAUUAGCUAGAUGGCGGGGUAACGGCCCACCAUGGCGACGAUCAGUAGCCGGUCUGAGAGGAUGAACGGCCACAUUGGGACUGAGAUACGGCCCAGACUCCUACGGGAGGCAGCAGUGGGGGAAUAUUGGGCAAUGGGGGGAAACCCGUAGACCCACGCAACGCCGCGUGAAGGAAGAAGGCU
RNAcentral lists this ribosomal RNA (393 nucleotides) under uncultured bacterium. Its description in RNAcentral is "bacterial SSU rRNA". It matches the Rfam family "Bacterial small subunit ribosomal RNA", at positions 28 to 416 of the family's 1533-position model. The record is from RNAcentral.